UGGGGAAUAUUGGACAAUGGGCGCAAGCCUGAUCCAGCAAUACCGCGUGUGUGAAGAAGGCCUGAGGGUUGUAAAGCACUUUCAAUAGGGACGAAAUGCCUGGGGUUAAUAACUCCGGGACUUGGCUUAACCUAUAGAAGAAGCACCGGCUAACUCCGUGCCAGCAGCCGCGGUAAUACGGAGGGUGCAAGCGUUAAUCGGAAUUACUGGGCGUAAAGCGCUCGUAGGCGGCUUGUUAAGUCGGAUGUGAAAGCCCCGGGCUCAACCUGGGAACUGCAUUCGAUACUGGCAGGCUAGAGUAUAGUAGAGGCAAGUGGGAUUCCGGGUGUAGCGGUGAAAUGCGUAGAUAUCCGGAGGAACAUCAGUGGCGAAGGCGACUUGCUGGACUAAUACUGACGCUAAGGAGCGAAAGCGUGGGGAGCAAACGGGAUUAGAUACCCCGGUAGUCCACGCCCUAAACGAUGUCAACUAGUUGUCGGGGAAGCAAUUCCUUGGUAACGAAGCUAACGCGUGAAGUUGACCGCCUGGGGAGUACGGCCGCAAGGUUA
Molecule: ribosomal RNA, 548 nt
Filed under: uncultured bacterium
Lineage: Bacteria
Description: bacterial SSU rRNA
Rfam family: Bacterial small subunit ribosomal RNA
Source: RNAcentral